CCUACGGGGGGCUGCAGUGGGGAAUAUUGGACAAUGGGGGCAACCCUGAUCCAGCCAUGCCGCGUGUGUGAAGAAGGCCCUCGGGUUGUAAAGCACUUUCAGUGAGGAAGAACGCCUGGUGGUUAAUACCCAUCAGGAAAGACAUCACUCACAGAAGAAGCACCGGCUAACUCCGUGCCAGCAGCCGCGGUAAUACGGAGGGUGCGAGCGUUAAUCGGAAUUACUGGGCGUAAAGCGCGCGUAGGUGGCUUGAUAAGCCGGUUGUGAAAGCCCCGGGCUCAACCUGGGAACGGCAUCCGGAACUGUCAAGCUAGAGUGCAGAAGAGGAAGGUAGAAUUCCCGGUGUAGCGGUGAAAUGCGUAGAGAUCGGGAGGAAUACCAGUGGCGAAGGCGGCCUUCUGGACUGACACUGACACUGAGGUGCGAAAGCGUGGGUAGCAAACAGGAUUAGAUACCCGAGUAGUC
This 465-nucleotide ribosomal RNA is filed under the name Vreelandella stevensii. RNAcentral's name for it is "partial 16S ribosomal RNA". It matches the Rfam family "Bacterial small subunit ribosomal RNA", at positions 338 to 795 of the family's 1533-position model. Lineage: Bacteria; Pseudomonadati; Pseudomonadota; Gammaproteobacteria; Oceanospirillales; Halomonadaceae. The record is from RNAcentral.